This 496-nucleotide ribosomal RNA is filed under the name uncultured bacterium. RNAcentral's name for it is "partial 16S ribosomal RNA". It matches the Rfam family "Bacterial small subunit ribosomal RNA", at positions 28 to 507 of the family's 1533-position model. The record is from RNAcentral.
GACGAACGCUGGCGGCGUGCCUAAUACAUGCAAGUUGAGCGCUGAAGGUUGGUACUUGUACCAACUGGAUGAGCAGCGAACGGGUGAGUAACGCGUGGGGAAUCUGCCUUUGAGCGGGGACAACAUUUGGAAACGAAUGCUAAUACCGCAUAAAAACUUUAAACACAAGUUUUAAGUUUGAAAGAUGCAAUUGCAUCACUCAAAGAUGAUCCCGCGUUGUAUUAGCUAGUUGGUGAGGUAAAGGCUCACCAAGACGAUGAUACAUAGCCGACCUGAGAGGGUGAUCGGCCACAUUGGGACUGAGACACGGCCCAAACUCCUACGGGAGGCAGCAGUAGGGAAUCUUCGGCAAUGGACGAAAGUCUGACCGAGCAACGCCGCGUGAGUGAAGAAGGUUUUCGGAUCGUAAAACUCUGUUGGUAGAGAAGAACGUUGGUGAGAGUGGAAAGCUCAUCAAGUGACGGUAACUACCCAGAAAGGGACGGCUAACUACGUG